UAGUUGCCAUCAGGUAAAGCUGGGAACUCUCGGGGAGACUGACCCGGGUGGAGUUAAAACCCGGGAGGAAGGCCGGGGAUGACGUCAAGUCCUCAUGGCCCUUACAUCCCGGGCUACACACGUGCUACAAUGGCAGGUACAGAGGGCUGCGAAGCCGCGAGGUGGAGCGAAUCCCAGAAAACCUGUCUCAGUCCGGAUUGAAGUCUGCAACUCGACUUCAUGAAGGCGGAGUCGCUAGUAACCGCGAAUCAGCAGGUCGCGGUGAAUACGUUCCCGGGCCUU
RNAcentral lists this ribosomal RNA (282 nucleotides) under uncultured Latescibacterota bacterium. RNAcentral's name for it is "uncultured Latescibacteria bacterium partial 16S ribosomal RNA". It matches the Rfam family "Bacterial small subunit ribosomal RNA", at positions 1112 to 1382 of the family's 1533-position model. Lineage: Bacteria; Pseudomonadati; Candidatus Latescibacterota. The record is from RNAcentral.